Molecule: ribosomal RNA, 497 nt
Filed under: uncultured bacterium
Lineage: Bacteria
Description: partial 16S ribosomal RNA
Rfam family: Bacterial small subunit ribosomal RNA
Source: RNAcentral
GAUGAACGCUGGCGGCGUGCCUAAUACAUGCAAGUCGAGCGAACGGACGAGAAGCUUGCUUCUCUGAUGUUAGCGGCGUACGGGUGAGUAACACGUGGAUAACCUACCUAUAAGACUGGGAUAACUUCGGGAAACCGGAGCUAAUACCGGAUAAUAUUUUGAACCUCAUGGUUCAAAAGUGAAAGACGGUCUUGCUGUCACUUAUAGAUUGAUUCGCGCUGCAUUAGCUAGUUGGUAAGGUAACGGCUUACCAAGGCAACGAUGCAUAGCCGACCUGAGAGGGUGAUCGGCCACACAGGAACUGAGACGCGGUCCAGACUCCUACGGGAGGCAGCAGUAGGGAAUCUUCCGCAAUGGGCGAAAGCCUGACGGAGCAACGACGCGUGAGUGAUGAAGAUCUUCGGAUCGUAAAACUCUGUUAUUAGGGAAGAACAUAUGUGUAAGUAACUGUGCACAUCUUGACGGUACCUAAUCAGAAAGCCACGGAUAACUACGUG